Molecule: ribosomal RNA, 492 nt
Filed under: uncultured bacterium
Lineage: Bacteria
Description: partial 16S ribosomal RNA
Rfam family: Bacterial small subunit ribosomal RNA
Source: RNAcentral
AGUGAACGCUGGCGGUAGGCCUAACACAUGCAAGUCGAACGGCAGCACAGUAAGAGCUUGCUCUUACGGGUGGCGAGUGGCGGACGGGUGAGGAAUACAUCGGAAUCUACUUUUUCGUGGGGGAUAACGUAGGGAAACUUACGCUAAUACCGCAUACGACCUACGGGUGAAAGCAGGGGAUCUUCGGACCUUGCGCGAUUGAAUGAGCCGAUGUCGGAUUAGCUAGUUGGCGGGGUAAAGGCCCACCAAGGCGACGAUCCGUAGCUGGUCUGAGAGGAUGAUCAGCCACACUGGAACUGAGACACGGUCCAGACUCCUACGGGAGGCGGCAGUGGGGAAUAUUGGACAAUGGGCGCAAGCCUGAUCCAGCCAUACCGCGUGGGUGAAGAAGGCCUUCGGGUUGUAAAGCCCUUUUGUUGGGAAAGGAAAGCAGCAGGUUAAUACCCCGCUGUUCUGACGGUACCCAAAGAAUAAGCACCGGCUAACUUCGUG